UACGUAGGGUGCGAGCGUUGUCCGGAAUUAUUGGGCGUAAAGAGCUCGUAGGCGGCUUGUCGCGUCGGAUGUGAAAGCCCGGGGCUUAACUCCGGGUCUGCAUUCGAUACGGGCAGGCUAGAGUUCGGUAGGGGAGACGUGGAAUUCCUGGUGUAGCGGUGAAAUGCGUAGAUAUCGGGAGGAACACCAGUGGCGAAGGCGGCACUCUGGGCCGGUACUGACGCUGAGGAGCGAAAGCGUGGGGAGCGAACAGG
This 254-nucleotide ribosomal RNA is filed under the name uncultured bacterium. RNAcentral's name for it is "partial 16S ribosomal RNA". It matches the Rfam family "Bacterial small subunit ribosomal RNA", at positions 524 to 776 of the family's 1533-position model. The record is from RNAcentral.